Molecule: ribosomal RNA, 497 nt
Filed under: uncultured bacterium
Lineage: Bacteria
Description: partial 16S ribosomal RNA
Rfam family: Bacterial small subunit ribosomal RNA
Source: RNAcentral
GAUGAACGCUGGCGGCGUGCCUAAUACAUGCAAGUCGAGCGGACAGACGAGGAGCUUGCUGCUCUCACGUUAGCGGAGCACGGGUGAGUAACACGUGGAUACCCUACCUAUAAGACUGGGAUAACUUCGGGAAACCGGAGCAAAUACCGGAUAAUAUAUUGCACCGCAGGGUUCAAUAGUGAAAGACGGUUUUGCUGUCACUUAUAGAUGCAUCCGCGCCGCUUUAGCUGGUAGGUACGGUCAAGGCUUACCAAGGCAACCAUGCGUAGCCGACGUGAGAGGCGGAUCGGCCACACUGGAGCGUGGCCGCGGACCAUGCGCCUACGGGAGGCACCAGUAGCGUACGUUCCGCAGUGGGCGAGAGCAUUGCGCAGUAACGCCGCGUGUGUGAUGACGGUCUCCGGAUCGUAAUACUCUGUUACGAGUUAAGAACAAAUUUGUAAGUAACUAUGCACGUCUUGACGGUACCUAAUCAGAAAGCACCGGCUAACUACGUG